This 700-nucleotide ribosomal RNA is filed under the name uncultured bacterium. RNAcentral describes it as "bacterial SSU rRNA". It matches the Rfam family "Bacterial small subunit ribosomal RNA", at positions 8 to 753 of the family's 1533-position model. The record is from RNAcentral.
AGAGUUUGAUCAUGGCUCAGAACGUACGCUGGCGGCACGCCUAAUACAUGCAAGUCGAACGAAGUAGCAAUACUUAGUGGCAGACGGGUGAGUAACAUGUGGGUAUCUUCCCUUUGGUGAGGAAUAACACGAGGAAACUUGUGCUAAUACCUCAUAAGUCUUUACGGAGAAAGCUUUAUGCGCCAAUGGAUGGGCCCGCACUUGAUUAGUUUGUUGGUGGGGUAAUGGCCUACCAAGACAAUGAUCAAUAGCUGAUUUGAGAGGAUGAUCAGCCACAUUGGGACUGAGACACGGCCCAAACUCUUACGGGAGGCAGCAGUAGGGAAUCUUGCACAAUGGGGGAAACCCUGAUGCAGCGAUGCCGCGUGAGUGAAGAAGGCCCUUGGGUUGUAAAGCUCUUUCGUCGGGGAAGAAAAUGACUGUACCCGAAUAAGAAGGUCCGGCUAACUUCGUGCCAGCAGCCGCGGUAAUACGAAGGGACCUAGCGUAGUUCGGAAUUACUGGGCUUAAAGAGUCCGUAGGUGGUUAAAAAAGUUGGUGGUGAAAUCCCAGAGCUUAACUCUGGAACUGCCAUCAAAACUUUUUAGCUAGAGUAUGACAGAGGAAAGCAGAAUUUCUAGUGUAGAGGUGAAAUUCGUAGAUAUUAGAAAGAAUACCAAUUGCGAAGGCAGCUUUCUGGAUCAUUACUGACACUGAGGAA